This 500-nucleotide ribosomal RNA is filed under the name uncultured bacterium. RNAcentral's name for it is "partial 16S ribosomal RNA". It matches the Rfam family "Bacterial small subunit ribosomal RNA", at positions 28 to 523 of the family's 1533-position model. The record is from RNAcentral.
GAUGAACGCUAGCGGCAGGCCUAAUACAUGCAAGUCGAACGGUAACAUGAGUAGCAAUACUUGAUGACGAGUGGCGCACGGGUGCGUAACGCGUAUGCAAUCUACCUUUAACUGGUGAAUAGCCCGAAGGAAUUCGGAUUAAUACACCAUAGUAUAUUUGAAUAGCAUCAUUUAAAUAUUAAAACUCCGGUGGUUAAAGAUGAGCAUGCGUGACAUUAGCUAGUUGGUGAGGUAAUGGCUCACCAAGGCGACGAUUUCUAGAGGAUCUGAGAGGAUUAAACCCCACACUGGUACUGAGACACGGACCAGACUCCUACGGGAGCCAGCAGGAAGAAAUAUUGGAGAAUGGUAGGAAGACUGAUCCAGCCAUGCCUCGUGAAGGAUGACGGCCCUAUGGGUUGUAAACUUCUUUUGUAUAAGAAAAAACCCUUCUACCAGUAGAAGGCUGAUGGUAACAAAAGAAUAAGGAUCGGCUAACUCCGUGCCAGCCGCCGCCGUAA